GAUACGGGACUCAUCCGAGGCCCCGUAAUCGGAAUGAGAACACACUAAAUCCUUUAACGAGGAUCCAUUGGAGGGAAAGUCUGGUGCCAGCAGCCGCGGUAACUCCAGCUCCAAUAGCGUAUAUUAAAGUUGUUGCGGUUAAAAAGCUCGUAGUUGGUUCUGCGUGCCACGCUGUCGGUUCACCGCCUGUCGGUGCAACUGGCAUGCCGUGGCAUGUCCUGUCGGUGGCGGACGGGCCGCCUGCUGUUGGGCCCUAUGCGUUUACGCGUGUAGGUGUCUCCACACGGGUGCGUCCUGACGCCGAUUCAAUCCUACCGCGGUGCUCUUCACCGAGUGUCGAGGUAGGCCGACACUGUUUACUUUGAACAAAUUAGAGUGCUUCAAGCAGGCUCUGAAAUCAGCUUGGAUAGUGGUGCAUGGAAUAAUGGAACAGGACCUUGGUUCUAUUUUGUUGGUUUCCGGAAUCCAAGGUAAUGAUCAAUAAGGACAGGCGGGGGCAUUCGUAUUGCGACGUUAGAGGUGAAAUUCUUGGAUCGUCGCAAGACGCACUAAAGCGAAAGCAUUUGCCAAGUAUGUCUUAAUUGAUCAAG
RNAcentral lists this ribosomal RNA (590 nucleotides) under Oxycarenus hyalinipennis. RNAcentral's name for it is "bacterial SSU rRNA". It matches the Rfam family "Eukaryotic small subunit ribosomal RNA", at positions 482 to 981 of the family's 1831-position model. The record is from RNAcentral. Lineage: Eukaryota; Metazoa; Arthropoda; Insecta; Hemiptera; Oxycarenidae.